Molecule: ribosomal RNA, 492 nt
Filed under: uncultured bacterium
Lineage: Bacteria
Description: partial 16S ribosomal RNA
Rfam family: Bacterial small subunit ribosomal RNA
Source: RNAcentral
AGUGAACGCUGGCGGUAGGCCUAACACAUGCAAGUCGAACGGCAGCACAGUAAGAGCUUGCUCUUACGGGUGGCGAGUGGCGGACGGGCGAGGAAUACAUCGGAAUCUACUUUUUCGUGGGGGAUAACGUAGGGAAACUUACGCUAAUACCGCAUACGACCUACGGGUGAAAGCAGGGGAUCUUCGGACCUUGCGCGAUUGAAUGAGCCGAUGUCGGAUUAGCUAGUUGGCGGGGUAAAGGCCCACCAAGGCGACGAUCCGUAGCUGGUCUGAGAGGAUGAUAAGCCACACUGGAACUGAGACACGGUCCAGACUCCUACGGGAGGCAGCAGUGGGGAAUAUUGGACAAUGGGCGCAAGCCUGAUCCAGCCAUACCGAGUGGGUGAAGAAGGCCUUCGGGUUGUAAAGACCUUUUGUUGGGAAAGAAAAGCAGCAGGUUAAUACCCCGCUGUUCUGACGGUACCCAAAGAAUAAGCACCGGCUAACUUCGUG